UACGGAGGGUGCAAGCGUUAUCCGGAUUCACUGGGUUUAAAGGGUGUGUAGGCGGGUAUUUAAGUCAGUGGUGAAAUCUCCGAGCUCAACUCGGAAACUGCCAUUGAUACUAUUUAUCUUGAAUAUUGUUGAGGUAGGCGGAAUAUGUCAUGUAGCGGUGAAAUGCUUAGAUAUGACAUAGAACACCGAUUGCGAAGGCAGCUUGCUACACGAUCAUUGACACUGAGGCACGAAAGCGUGGGGAUCAAACAGG
This 253-nucleotide ribosomal RNA is filed under the name uncultured bacterium. RNAcentral's name for it is "partial 16S ribosomal RNA". It matches the Rfam family "Bacterial small subunit ribosomal RNA", at positions 524 to 776 of the family's 1533-position model. The record is from RNAcentral.